This 432-nucleotide ribosomal RNA is filed under the name uncultured bacterium. RNAcentral describes it as "partial 16S ribosomal RNA". It matches the Rfam family "Bacterial small subunit ribosomal RNA", at positions 30 to 507 of the family's 1533-position model. The record is from RNAcentral.
GCGAACGCUGGCGGCAUGCUUCACCCCUGCCAGUCGCACGGGCAGCAAUGUCAGUGGCGGACGGGUGAGUAACGCGUAGGAACGUGUCCUGAGGUGGGGGACAACCCCGGGAAACUGGGGCUAAUACCGCAUAUGGGCUGAGGCCCAAAGCCGAGAGGCGCCUUUGGAGCGGCCUGCGUCCGAUUAGGUAGUUGGUGGGGUAAAGGCCUACCAAGCCUGCGAUCGGUAGCUGGUCUGAGAGGACGACCAGCCACACUGGGACUGAGACACGGCCCAGACUCCUACGGGAGGCAGCAGUGGGGAAUAUUGGACAAUGGGCGAAAGCCUGAUCCAGCAAUGCCGCGUGGGUGAAGAAGGUCUUCGGAUCGUAAAGCCCUUUCGACGGGGACGAUGAUGACGGUACCCGUAGAAGAAGCCCCGGCUAACUUCGUG